AGUGAACGCUAGCGGUAGGCCUAACACAUGCAAGUCGAACGGCAGCACAGUAAGAGCUUGCUCUUACGGGUGGCGAGUGGCGGACGGGUGAGGAAUACAUCGGAAUCUACUUUUUCGUGGGGGAUAACGUAGGGAAACUUACGCUAAUACCGCAUACGACCUACGGGUGAAAGCAGGGGAUCUUCGGACCUUGCGCGAUUGAAUGAGCCGAUGUCGGAUUAGCUAGUUGGCGGGGUAAAGGCCCACCAAGGCGACGAUCCGUAGCUGGUCUGAGAGGAUGAUCAGCCACACUGGAACUGAGACACGGUCCAGACUCCUACGGGAGGCAGCAGUGGGGAAUAUUGGACAAAGGGCGCAAGCCUGAUCCAGCCAUACCGCGUGGGUGAAGAAGGCCUUCGGGCUGUAAAGCCCUUUUGUUAGGAAAGAAAAGCAGCAGGUUAAUACCCCGCUGUUCUGACGGUACCCAAAGAAUAAGCACCGGCUAACUUCGUG
RNAcentral lists this ribosomal RNA (492 nucleotides) under uncultured bacterium. RNAcentral's name for it is "partial 16S ribosomal RNA". It matches the Rfam family "Bacterial small subunit ribosomal RNA", at positions 29 to 507 of the family's 1533-position model. The record is from RNAcentral.